Long non-coding RNA from Neogale vison (American mink), 940 nucleotides. RefSeq lists it as uncharacterized. The record is from RefSeq and is a predicted model, not a curated record. NCBI's taxonomy places the organism in Eukaryota, Metazoa, Chordata, Mammalia, Carnivora, Mustelidae. The transcript is spliced from 3 exons.
UUGACUUUUGAAGAAUGUAGGAGGUUCACAACACAGAGGCUUUGGAGACACAGAGAUGUUUAAGAUGUGGGAACUGUCUUCAAGGAGACAACAUUCAAAAUAUUCAUGAGACUGGAAAUCAUUUGAUGGCAGGAAUUUUGUCUUCGUCUGUUCGUCCCAGAUUUGCCAUUGCAAAAAUGCUCCUUGAGCGAAAGUACUGGGUAGGAGGAAAGGACACAAGGAGGAAAUAUCUGUAUCAGUGACUUAAACGGGCAUCACAGAAUCUGUUUUAGCAGAACUGUCAGGGAAAAGAGAAAGUCUCCAGACAGACAAGGCAGGGCAGGCCAUUUCAGAAAGAGAAAUUAAUAUGUACAUAGUACUUGGAGAACUGUCAAGGAGCUUCAUGAAAGAAGACGUGGAAGGCCAUGCUGGCAGCAAGGUGGAGAAAUGUUUCCACGUAGAGACAGAGUCAAGACGAUGGUUCAGGAAACUGGUGCAUUAGUCCAGCCCCCACAUGUUGGGGAUUUCUGCAGCUGCCUUGAACUCCGCUGUAGGGAGUCUUUUUGGAGGAAAUGGUUUUCGUGAGAGGCCUUGGGGAUUUGUCAGUUUCCAUGAACACUUGGCAGGCCUCAAGGCAUCUGGCCUGUGACAUGGAGAUUGCUCUCAAAAGACUCACAUUUCAAAUAUCUUUGUUGAAGAAAGACUGGAAGGCUCAAUCUAGAUCGUUGGGCUCCUGUGAAAAUGAAGAUGAUGGGUUCAUGGAACCCAGGGAGGCAGCAGGAAGUCCUCACCUGAUAAACAGGGAGGAGCGAGGGUAAUGGUAGGUUUAUAUCUCUCCAACUUAACUGCAACCUGUAGAUAAAGCUAACUCUUUUAGCUUUGCUGCAGCUAGCCCAAGAGGUUACUUAAAAAAAAAAAAAAAGCACACCAAAUUAUUGAGGUAUAAGUCCCAUUUCAUACA